GAGAGAAGCCAGACACUUGUUUGUCUGGACUCCUAUAAAUAGGCAUAGGCUCAGCUCUCAGAUGCAUACAUGUUGAUCUUUGUAAAAUUCCAAAUUAAAAGAUAUAGACUAGAUAAUAGGUUUUUUUAAAAAAAGAUCCAACCAUAUGCUGCCUACAAGAAAUUCACUUCAGGUGUCAAGACGGAUAGAGAAAAAUACUCCACACAAACAAACCAAAAGCAGGCAGGAGGAGCUAUAUUUAUACCUUGCAAAAAAGACGUUAAGUCAA
RNAcentral lists this long non-coding RNA (268 nucleotides) under Pan troglodytes (chimpanzee). RNAcentral's name for it is "long non-coding RNA NONPTRT002196". The record is from RNAcentral. Lineage: Eukaryota; Metazoa; Chordata; Mammalia; Primates; Hominidae.